CCCUUAGAUGUUCUGGGCUGCACGCGCGCUACACUGAAGCUAUCAACACGUUUUCCCUCCCUGAGAAGGGCGGGUAACCUUUUGAAUCAGCUUCGUGAUAGGGAUCGGGGCUUGCAAUUGUUCCCCGUGAACCAGGAAUUCCUAGUAGACGCGAGUCAUAAGCUCGCAUCGAUUAAGUCCCUGCCCUUUGUACACACCGCCCGUCGCUACUACCGAUUGAACGUUUUAGUGAGGCAUUUGGACCGACGCAUCUCAGUUUAACCGCUGGUUUGUGUUGGAAAGACUUCCAAACUUGAGCGUUUAGAGGAAGUAAAAGUCGUAACA
This 324-nucleotide ribosomal RNA is filed under the name uncultured eukaryote. RNAcentral's name for it is "partial 18S ribosomal RNA". It matches the Rfam family "Eukaryotic small subunit ribosomal RNA", at positions 1470 to 1796 of the family's 1831-position model. The record is from RNAcentral.